This 17066-nucleotide long non-coding RNA is filed under the name Vitis vinifera (wine grape). RNAcentral's name for it is "long non-coding RNA (VVIN_LNC004712)". Lineage: Eukaryota; Viridiplantae; Streptophyta; Magnoliopsida; Vitales; Vitaceae. The record is from RNAcentral.
CUGAGACAGGGUGGGCCUAAGAAAUUAAAUAUUCAAUUCUUCAAGGAUAUACAAGCACGUAUGAGAGAUCCAAAUUACAAGUUUUCACCUGAGUUAAAGUUGAAACCUAAGAGCAAAUUGGUUUCAAGAAAGAAAUGGCAAAAAGCCCAGUCUAGACGGAGGAAAGCGCAGAAGCGCUAGUUGUUACUUUUCAACUCUUUGACUUUCCAAAAACAUACCUGUAUAUUUUCUGACUGGUGGGAUUUUAUAUAUUUCUUGCUAUAUUGUAUAACAUGAUAGAUAAUAUUGGCUUAUAUUGUUUUUUUGAUAGGAAACCACGCAUGAAUAUAUUGAUAGAAAAAAAAUAGUACAUAAGGAGGAUGAGAAAUCCUCCCGCCAAAGGUAAAACUAAACAACACAAAAAAAUAACAUGACACUACACCGUCCCGUUGGAACUACACACUAUUAGCCAAUCUAGUUGUAAAACGUUAAGAGGAAUGCCCUUAAAACCCGCUGAGCAAAAAGCCAAAAACGAAGCGAGGAAAUGAAUGGAGUUCCAAAGAUUCUUUGAAUUCCUAGCUUUGUCCUCAAAUAUCCUAUCAUUUCUUUCCCGCCACACAACCCAAAUUAAAGCUAUGCAUGCGUUUUGCCACAAAACCAACCCUCUCUUGGAUUUGCCAAAACCUUUAUAAUUGAUGAACAUCAUGUCUAAAAUGCUUUUCGGAGGAACCCAAUCCAUCUUGGCUAGCUGAAAUAGUCUGUGCCACAACCCCAACGUCACAGAACGAUGAAGGAAGAGAUGAUUUGUUGAUUCUCCUUGCUCCAUACACAACUUACAAAUGUUAGGGCUAAGAGCUUUGCGGGGUCUCCUCAAUUGUAGCAAGUCAUUGGUAUUUACCUUCUUGUGUGCCACAAGCCAGACAAAGGCCUUAACUUUGAAGGGGACUUGAGAUUUCCAUACAAACUUAGUGGGGGAAAAAAGGAGAUGAAUUAGGCAUUUGGGACAAGGCUGGAAAGAAAGACUUGACUGUAAACAAUCCUGAAGACAAUAAGGACCAAGAUCUCGCAUCUGAAGCGGAAAUGGAUAAAUUCAUACAAUCAAGAGAACACAUGAGGCGUUCUAGAUCUUCUAUCUCAGAAUCGGUUAGAUUACGACGAAAAUUAAAGUUCCAUGAGAAAAGGCGAGCCGAACCAAGAAUUGAAGAUAUAGGAAUAUUUUUAUCCGUUACUAUUCUAAAUAGUCUUGGAUAUUGGUCUUUGAAGAUUUGGUCCCCCCACCACAAAUCUUCCCAAAAGCGAAUUCUUUCCUCAUCUCCUACAACAAACCGAGUAUAUUUGGAAAAAUCCUGAAAGACUUGUGCAAUGGCCUUCCAAGGACAACAAUGUGACCACUUGACUAAAGUGUUGGCAUCCCAACCAUUUGAGUGUCCCAGUAGAUGCUAUGAAUGACCUAAUGCUACAGAGCUGUACUCUCCCUGGGAAAUCUCCACAACCAUUUCCCUAAAAGAGCGCAAUUCCUUAAAGGAAUCUUCCCAAUCCCUAAACCCCCUUUUACCCUCGGCUUACACACUGCAUCCCAACUAACAAAAUGGUCUCUUUUACCUUCCCCAACCCCUGACCAAAGAAAGUCCCUUUGCAUCCUCUCAACUUUUGCAGCCACUGAAGCAGGAAUCUUAAACAGAGAAAGAAAGUAGCUAAGGAUAUGGGAUAGACAUGAGUGUAGAAGAGUUAUCCUACCACCGAAAGAUAAGUAAGCCUUUUGCCACCUGUCUAAUCUCCUAGAGAUUCUCUCAAUCACUGGAUCCCAGAAUCCACAAGCAGUAGGAUUCCCUCCCAAAGGAAGACCCAGAUAGGCCAAUCUGAAGCCUUGCAGUCAAGCAACAAGGCUAACCUAAAGAGAUGAUUCUGAUCAAGGUUGAUGCCAAAAAGAUUACUCUUAUCAAGAUUGACCUUAAGCCCAGAAACUUGACCAAACAAUAACAAUAAACUCUUAAGAGUUUGUAGUUCUUCCUCACUAGAGCUAGCAAAGAGGAUGGUAUCGUCUGCGAAUUGCAGAUGGGAUACCCUACACCUAUUUCUACCUACCCUGAAGCCCUCUAGCAAACUUCUUUCCUCAGCUUUCAACAACAUUCUACUCAACACAUCUGCAACAAUAGUGAACAGGAAAGGGGAUAAAGGGUCACUUUGCCUUAAACCUCUAGAUGCCUUGACCCACCCUUUAGCAUUACCAUUCACUAGAAUAGCAUAAAAGGCCGACGACAGACAUCCUCUCAUCCAUUUCCUCCAUUUAGAACUAAAUCCCUUCUUCUCCAACACAUGAUCCAAAAAAUCCCAUUUAACAUGGUCAUAAGCCUUUUCAAAGUCUAUCUUGAAUACAACUCCUUUCUCUCCUGAUCGUCUUUUCUCGUCUACAAUCUCAUUGGCUAUAAGAACUGCGUCCAGAAUUUGUCUCCCUUUAACAAAAGCACCUUGAGUGGAGUGGAUGGUCUCCUGUAGUACUCCUCUUAGUCGCCCUGACAAGACUUUUGCUAUUACCUUAUAGAGACAAGUGAUCAGGCUGAUAGGUCUAAAAUCUGAAAUCUUCUUUGACUAGCUCUUUUUGGGCAAAAGAACUAUGAAGGAGGCAUUGGUGUUUUGAUUAAUAAUCCUGCUAUUGUGAAACUUUGCAAACACCCUUACUAAGUCAUCCUUGAUCACAUCCCAACAAUCCUGAAACACUGCUAUGGUGAAACCAUCGGGCCCCGGCGCCUUAUUCCUAUCUAACUGAAAGAUGGCAUUAUAGAUCUCUACUUCGAAGAAAGGGGAAUCCAGCUUAGAAGCACUCUUUUCUGAUAUAGGGGACCAAUCAAUACCUUCUACUCUCCAAGACUCACCAGGAUGACUCAAGUAGAGCUUUUUGAAAUAAUGUAAUAUCUCCUUUGUGAUGCUGUCGAAAUUGUCCAACACCAAACCACUUUCAUUCUCCAAGAAUUUGAUGAAAUUCAUGUUUCGUCUCCCGUUAGCCACUUUGUGAAACAACUUUGAGUUGCAAUCCCCGUCCUUAACCCAUUUUACUUUAGCUUUUUGUCUCCAAUGAAUUUCUUCCCUCAUAAUUAUUUCCUCUAGCUCCCCUUUUCUUACAGCUCUUUGAACAGCGAGAUCAAAAGAGAGAGCCCCUUCUUGUUCAUUGGCAUCAAUGUUAGCUAUUUCAUCCAAGAUGGUUUUUUUCCUUUCCUUAAGCAUUCCAAAAGUAUUCUUAUUCCAAUCUUUCAAUUUUGCGUUAACAAAUUGUAACUUCCUCAUGAACUUGUGACCUUCCCAACCAUUUCCUUCAAAUUCUCUCCACCAACUGCUAAAGCACUCUUUGAAACUAUGAUGUUACAACCACAUAUUCUCAAACCUAAAAGGUGUAGGACCCCACUUGAAAGGAUUGGUAUCCAAUACAAUCGGCCAAUGAUCCGAUGUCCAUCUAGGAAGAACUUCUUGAAGGCUUUGAGGGAAUGAAAGCUCCCACUCAUUUGAAUAGAGAAACCGAUCCAAUCUCUUACACACCGGUAACUCUUGCAUAUUUGACUAAGUAAAAGAGGCAUUUCGUAAUGGGGGAUCAUGUAAUUCAUGUUCUCUUAUAAAGCCAUCAAAAUCCCUCAUGCUAGAAGUGAAUCUAGAGCCACCCAGUCUUUCUAAUCUUCUCCUUAUAACAUUGAAGUCACCUCCCACACACCAUGAAGGAAAAGUAAGGCCAAAAAGGUCUAACAACUCCACCCAAAAAUCCUUCCUAGUUAAGGGGCUGUUUAGACCAUAAACUGCAGACAACCACAAAGGUCCACAUCCAUCCAUCAAGAACUUGACUGAGACAGAAAAAGAUCCAAUUACCACGUCCUCACUGCUCAUUUUCUUUGAGUCCCAAAUGAUUAAAAUUCCUCCUGAAGCCCCGCACGCCGGGAGAACAGCCCACUCCUUAUUUCUAACCAACCAGACACUUCCUACAAACCUUCUGUUGCACACCUCUCUUUUUGUUUCCUGAAACAUCACUACAUCCGGAUUCUGAAGUAGCAAAAAAUCCUUAACCACUCUUCUCUUUUUCCUAGAUCCCAACCCCCUGAUAUUCCAGCUUAUGAUCUUCAUAAAAACACCUCACUGACCCUAUACCUCCUAACCAACGCCAACAGAACUCAAAUGUCUAUGGCAAUUCUAUUCUUUCGCCUUGAAUACACCUUAAUAUCCAAGGAACUUAAGACCUCACAAACUUUAGCCAUUUUGCUAGGGGAAAGACCUUCAGUUUGGAACCCACCCAUCUAGGAGAACUCAGUGUCUCCCUGUCUAACUGUACCCAGAAUAGGGGCCCCAUGAGGCGAGCUGGGUUUGGUCUUAUCAUAAUUAAAGCUUUCAGACACAAGAUUCAAUCUAGCCAACCGGGGCACCGCAUCAUCACGGUUAGGAAUGCCAACAAACCCAAGACGAUAAGCCCCAAUAUCAUCUUUUUUUGAAAAAAUUUCAGAGAACACUCAAUUUUUCGUAAGAAUUUGGGAUUGAAAGGCUGGAAUGGAGAGAUCGAUAGCAGAAGAACUCGGGUAUGGAGGAGCCACGCCAGAGAAAGGAGAAUGAAAAGGCAGAGAAGGUUGAGAAAAAUGAUGAGAAGAAACCUCAAAGUUGAGCCCUUUUUCUCUAGUUGCGGGAUAAGAAAGAUGAUCUGUGACUGAAGAUCCACUAUGAGAACAACCCACAAAACAUUUAAAACCUGCUUCGUCUCCUUCUUUAGCAAUAUUGCACAUUUUCUCCUUCCCUUUUGACUGCAAAGGAGCCCUAAGAAGAUUCCUUUGCUUUGCGUUUUCCUUCGUCGGCGUCAUUCCUUCCUCGGAACACCCUUGACCCAACUGUGUUCCCGCUUUGGAGACGUCUUCCAAUGGAAGAGUAUCACUAACUGGCGUCGAUCUCUCAAUCGUGAGUGGCUCGCUUCGGCUUCGAUCUCCUUGUCGGCAUACAGAGCUUGAUGGAAAUAGAGCAUUCCACAGCUUCCUUGAACCACACUUCAUCGUGGAGCCCCUCUGUUGAUUUUUAGGAUCCUCGUGGCCUGUCUUCGCCUUCCCUUUUGCAGAAAGAAUAAAUCUGUGUAAAGGGCCCUUCGAAUAUCUGUCUUGAUUGUCUCCCAUCUCUUGGCUCAACGACUAAAUCGGGCCUUUCCCAUGGACUUCCUUCUUCCAGCCCACAUCAAUUUGAGACCAUGGGCUGGGUUUACUAAAAGGAUGGGCUCUUGUCAUGUAUUUGGAGGCCCAAAACCCAUCCUGGAGAGUUGACUGGGCUUUGACCCUUCUAGCCUGCUUUGGCCCAACAGAUCCAGCUCUCUGCCUUUUUUAAUUCGAAUGCAGUGGAGGUUGGGACCAGCUGUUCCCCAUUGACGUCCUGUUCUUUCCACGUGUCCUCCUAGGAGCGUUCUCAGCCUUUUGACCACCUCUCCACUCCAUUGUUCUGCCAACUGCCCCAACCAAAGACCCUUUUCCAGCCGUUGAUCUAUCUUCCUCUGCCCUUUUUCUGCCAACUGUCCCCGUGUGAGCCUCAGCCAAUUGCCGAGUUGACUCACCCAUCUCUCUAACUUGACUACCGUCUUCCUUCCCGGCCACUGCGACUGAAACUGUGAAGUCCCAACCCCCAUCUAACACCUCAAUCAAAGCUGGGAGAAUCGAUCGUUCUUUCAUUACCACUUUCACCCUCACUUUGCUUAGAUAAAAAAGUUUCAAUGUUCACCAAUCGAUCUCUGUCACCGUCCCCCAUUGCUCCAUAAUUUUCUUCAAGUGAACCUCAGACCAUAAAUGAAAUGGUAAACCCCUUAAAUCUAUCCAACCUUCCUUGAACUUCCCCUCUACUUCUGAAUUUUCCUUUGGCAACCAUCUUCUCAACAAGGCUGUAAUUCCGCCCUUAAUCCUGAUGAACCUUGAAUUGUGUAGUGAUAAAGCUUCCUCUAAUGUUUCUACAAAAACAAUCCUUUUCCUCCGGCGAAUGGGACGAUUGUCACCACGUCUUUGUGCCCCAGCCUUCUCGCCAUAGCCCGGCUGACCUCAGCCCAGUUAAUAGCACCAUCUUGACAUUCGCACACCAUAACCCUCGCCCAUCUCCCAACUGGAACAAGGCCGCCUUUCCUCGGACCUUCGUCUCUGACUACAUUAGCAAAGGACCGUUGCAAGGGACCCACAUUUUUGUGCAAAAUCCUUCCUUCCCUGCUCAGCCUUCCCUUUUCAUUAAAACUCGAGGAGGGGACCACCAACAUUGAAUACAACGCAGACUUUAAAAGUUCCCAUCCCCUGCCAUUCUCUCCCUCAGGUAUUACCAGAAAAGUUGACUUCCUGUUGGAGGCGAACUCUGAUAAUCUUAUAAACCUGCCAUGAAUAUUGAAGCAAACCUCCAGUAGAUGUACUCUGGUCUUUCCUCUAAAUUUUCUGUUGAAACCCAUAAAAAUCUUCAUCUUAAUGGCCUUUGUCAACUGUUCUAUCAACCAACUAACCUCCUCCUUCUCAAAGCCUAAGACGAAAAUAGAGCCUUUACUGUGCUCUGUUAUCGAACACCAUUGCCCUCCGACCUCACCCUCGAACCUAACCCGGAAGGUCUUCCUCUCCACAGAGACCUUCAAGGUCCUUACCAUUCUCUCUAUUUCUGUCACAAAUAUGGUGCUCAAUUAAUAGUAAAGAAGAAUAAUGAACAAGGUAGAGGUAUUCAAUUAUUGGCUUAUAUUGUUAUAGAGACAAUCCUUGACAUAGACAGAUUUUUGGCUUACAACUUUUUGUCCUUGAAUUAUUUUAUUUAUCCUGUUGUUUACUUUUGCAUGUUUGAUUUUCAAGUACUGUUGUCUGUUAGUAACUUUCAUAAACAAUUGCAACUUAAUUAAACAAUUUGGUACAAUGAGUACAUGCUUGGUUCCUUACUGUUCAAAUGCUGAAUUAUUUCCUUUUGGAUUUGGAGUAUACUAUCAUUUCUAUUUAUUCUCUAAGGAUUAGCUCUAUUUUAUGAUUUUCUUUAUUUGGAAAUCACAUGUUUUGCUUGUUUGUCUACUGGUUUAGUGAAAGCAUCAAGUACUUAGACUUUAUGCUCACCUUAAUUAAACAGUUUGACUUAAACCUCAUCAAACUCAAUCGGCCUGUGAUGGCCACAAACUUCAUCUUAGUAACCAAUUUGAUUGUGCUUGAUUAUAUUUAUUGAAAGUUAUAUGAGAUGAUUUGGACUGUUAACCAAAAUGCCUUUUACACAGAACCUUUUCUCUACCAGAAAAGGUGAUUGACAGCUUUGAGGUAUGCUUAUUUUCAGUUCCUGUUGUUGACUGUACAAAAUCUAGGAAGAAACUCGAGCAUUUAAGAAGGAAAGAUUUUCUCAUGAACAACCAUGGGCAUUUAGAAACCAAGUUUUACCAUCUAAAUCAUUACCCUUUAUAAUCAAGGAUAUAUUGGUGCUUGCAGAGGAAGGUAUAUUUGCCUGCCUGGAAAAGUCAUACCUGAGGAUUUUCUGUUCAUUUAGGAAUUCCUACUCCAAGAUUAGUGUAGAAAGGUAUUUGUGUUUGAUAUAACAUGGUUUUAAUUUGAUAAGUUUGUAAUGGUACAGAGGUUGUACUAUAGCAGUGGAUGAUAGGAGGAUAGUAAGUCCUAUGCAGCUCUUAAUUUGAGUUUAUAGGCAACGUUAUAUGAGUUCCUUAGUAAGCUAUAAUUUUUUUUUCUCAUAAAUUUUAAGAAAUCUCCAUAAGACAUUAGUUUCUGGAAAUUUCUACUUCUGAGUUUGGGGAUUUAGUAAAAUGUGCACCAUCUUUUACUGACUAGAAGGUAAAAAGCCACCAAUUUGUUCCUUCCAAUUGUCCUUAUUGAGUAAGAUCUCCAACUUUGGAUUUUCCUGAUAAUGAUUAGCAUUAAUUACACAAGGCCAGACCCAUUCUUCAAAGUAGUUGAGCCAGGGUCUUCCAGUAUUUUGUUCUUUUUUAUCCAUAACUUUUACCUGCCAGCUGCAGUAGUAUUCAUAUGGAAAACUUUUCUUUUAUUCGGUAUGAAAGGGAAACAGAUGAUGUGUUUCAAAGUAAAAAUACACACUUUUUGGUCAAUAUUCUUCCUUGUAAUUUAAUAGUUUUUGAAGAGAAAACUCAUGCUAUCCCUUUUAUGCUAUAUUUCUCACUAUCCAAAUGCCUUUUCAGAACCAUCACAGGAUAGGUUUCUCUGUUUUUUCCUCCCUUAUUUUUGAUACCUCCUCUAAGUUUCCGGCCUUUGAUAGCAAUGUCAGAAUUGCUUAAAUCUUACACAGAAGGAAACUGUACUUUGCAGGAAAUAUAAAACUUUUAAAUGGGAAAAGAUGAUAAGAAUUGUUCUGUUGCAAUAUAGCAUAGGGAAAAAGCAGAGGAUAAGAAAAGGUUGCAUAGAAUAGAAUGGGUUUUGGCUUCUGUAAAAUAGAAAGCCUCUGCAUAAUCUCAUCUGUGAACUUGCAGAAUACUACAAGGGGAUAGAGUGGACCUUAGGAACUCCCAUUUGAGGGGUGAGGGCACGCAGGGGGCAUAAAGCUUGAUCCCUCUAAGCAGUCUUCAUAAAGCUUUUUCAUCUGAAUUUAAACCAACUAGUUUUGUGGACAGUCAGUCCCUCAAACCAUAUGAAUCUCCAUGAGGGGAGGGUUCGUUGAUGGUGCUAUUUCUAGUUAUUAAUACCCUUCAAAAGUUAAAUAUUCUAGUAUGUUAGUGAAUAAGGAGAUCGAGAUGCCUUGGCUACUAGUCAUUAGAUCACAUUAUUUGUUUCCCUUUAUGAAGCAAACCCACAAGGUUUCAGUUGAGACUUGGGUUUUAGAUGCAAUACAUCACAUAACUUUUGCUAUGAAUGGUUUGGCAAUAAUCAUUCAUUUUGUUUGGUUCUUGUGUGAGAUUUGUUUGGUAAUGUAUCAAUCACUCCACUCUUAAGUGAAUAAAUCCCAAAAAGUUUGAAAUCAAAUAAACAAAGAUGAAAGAUUGUAAUCAAUGAACCAUCUGUUUGAGUACCUAUUUGAGUGUCGAUAUCGCUAAAGACAUCUUGUAAUCUGUCUACUUUUUCUCAUGACCGAGCUUGUAUUUUGCAUGACUACUGAAGUGUGGUUUUUCUGGCUACUAGUGAGGGUAUGGUGCAGAACUGAAAGUAUGGUGGUAAUAAUAAUCAUUAAUAGAAGGAAUUAGGGGAUUGAUGCAUAUAGAUGUUGCCAUUUAUUCGUUAGACGGAAACCCUGCAGAAAAAUCUUGAAAUUCGCUCCAUCCAUAACCUCCCAAGCCAACAAAACCAGCAGCAUUGACCUGAAAAUUCUCCAGACCCAUUAGCGUAUUGUCUGCAUCACCACCCAUAUACGCAUAUCUUUCCCCGUCCCGAACCUGCCCUGUUGCCAUUCCUAGUUCUGGUAGGGUUUGUAGGUUUGCCGCCAUCGAGUUUGAAAUUCUACCGCUAUCCAACAAAAUAAACGAGAGGAUGGCACAAAGGCUGUUCUCACGCCUUUCGCUCCUCCAAUCCCUCUGUAGAAUCCCUAAACCCCGUUUGGAACCAAGGUCUACAUUCUUAACCCUUUUCUCUUCCACUAAUCUCCUUUCGUGAUUUUAUUUUCUGAAAUCCCAUGUUUGGUGUUUCAGAUUAGAGGCUCUUUCUGACACAAUUACUUCAAGGAAUGGAGUCAAUCUAUGGGUUUCCCACAAUUUACAAGUUCUGCCUUCAUUCUUAGGUGAUUUUCUAUUAUUCAGUCACUGGGUUUUCUUGCAUGUGAAGAUUGUGAUUGGAGUACGUGUUGUGUAGCCCACGUGUUUGUUAAAAGUUCUCAGAGAAGAGGAGACAUCUUUACUGUAUAUUUUAGCUUAUUCUUGCCAGUAUCCCACGUCUGCCUUAAAUUCAUCUCCAGCUUCUUCCACUUGGCUGCCCUAUUUAACCGUCUGGAAGCCACGAUUCUUGUGUGUAGUGCAGGGCUGCUGAACUUUUUCAUGAGAUUUGAGCAGUCAUAUAAUAUGUAUACCUUGAUUUGUUGAUGAACUAAAAUUAUUCGGUGUAAUUUUAAUCAUUGUAGAGUGAUUCUGUGUUAUAUAUUCUAAUUUUUUACUUUUUCNNNNNNNNNNNNNNNNNNNNNNNNNNNNNNNNNNNNNNNNNNNNNNNNNNNNNNNNNNNNNNNNNNNNNNNNNNNNNNNNNNNNNNNNNNNNNNNNNNNNNNNNNNNNNNNNNNNNNNNNNNNNNNNNNNNNNNNNNNNNNNNNNNNNNNNNNNNNNNNNNNNNNNNNNNNNNNNNNNNNNNNNNNNNNNNNNNNNNNNNNNNNNNNNNNNNNNNNNNNNNNNNNNNNNNNNNNNNNNNNNNNNNNNNNNNNNNNNNNNNNNNNNNNNNNNNNNNNNNNNNNNNNNNNNNNNNNNNNNNNNNNNNNNNNNNNNNNNNNNNNNNNNNNNNNNNNNNNNNNNNNNNNNNNNNNNNNNNNNNNNNNNNNNNNNNNNNNNNNNNNNNNNNNNNNNNNNNNNNNNNNNNNNNNNNNNAACCUAGUAUCAAAGCCUAUUUUGUAAGGAGGUCAUGUGUUCAAGCCCCACCGCAUAUUUAUUUCCAUUUUUUAUUGUGUAUCAAUAGUAUUUUUUUUAGUUAUUAUGAUAAAAAUAAUAAAAAAUAAAUAAAGUUACAAAAAAAAAGACCAAAAUAUCACCAUUCCAGGAUAACUGUCUUGAGAAGAUAAUUUUAAAAUUUUAUUUUUGAAUUUGUUCAGUUCCAGUAAAUUAUAGAAGCUUUCUACUAGUUGGACCUAAAAUGACUUUUGAUCACUGUUAUCAGCUAGAACCAACUUUUGAAGUUCUCUAUUAAAUUAUGUGCAUGAUAUUACAUUUACUGACAGUCUGACACAACUAAGUUUCAUUAAGGUCUAAAUUAUAUGAAUGGACUUCAGUAAAAUUUUUUGGACAUCAGGAAGUUUUUUUGGGCUUCACUAAGUUUGUUCUCUUGACUAGUGAUACAUGGUUGCACCAAGAUCCAGUUUUAGCAAUGUUAGCAUUCUGUCCCCCAAUUUUUUUUUUCCUCUUAUAUUAUUUGUUUUGCGCUAAAUGCAUCUGGAAUAUAUUUGAAUAUUUUGUAGUGUCACGGUCAUAUGCCCGUGGAGAACGUAAAUAUUAUGAUCUCUUUGGCAAUGUAAAACCUGGGGAUGCGGAAUUCAGGAAAGCCUGGGAGAAAGGAAUGGAUGAAGAGUCUUGUAUAUGGACAGGAAGUGAAGAUGAAAGUGAUGAUGAAAAAGGCCAAGGUCCUCUUGAAGAAGAGAUCAGAAGAGUAAAGCAGGAAGCAAAUGAGCAUUCAGACCCCAUUGAUGCUGAUGACAGUGAUGAAUUAAGAAGUGUAUGGUCGGGAAGUGAUGAGGAGAAGACACUUUGGACUGGUAGUGAAGGUGAUGAUGACGAUGAUAUUCCUACAGAAGCCUACCCAAAUGAGAAGAGUGAUGCAUAUCUAGAUAAAUUAUUCGAGUUUGAGGAACCACCUAAGCAUCGAACCAUUUCAGAACUAUUGAAAGCUGAAAAUGAACCAGAGGAGAUGUCCCCAGGAAAGCAAGCUAGGAAAAUUGCAGUUGAGAAUGCUCUGAAACAAUUGAAGAAAGGACCAGAUGGACGGUACACCAAUGUGUGGGAGGUCAUGAGUGAUCUUGACAUCCUAAUAGGAGCAUUUGAAAAUAUUGCGUCAGGGCCAGAAUAUGCGGAGCUGAGACAGGGUGGGCCUAAGAAAUUAAAUAUUCAAUUCUUCAAGGAUAUACAAGCGCGUAUGAGAGAUCCAAAUUACAAGUUUUCACCUGAGUUAAAGUUGAAACCUAAGAGCAAAUUGGUUUCAAGAAAGAAAUGGCAAAAAGCCCAGUCUAGACGGAGGAAAGCGCAGAAGCGCUAGUUGUUACUUUUCAACUUGUUGAGAGAGAGAGAGAGAAAGGAGAAAAACCUAAUUCACAUUCAUUGUAAUCUCUACUUACAAUUGAGAGAUAUAUAUAUACAAGGCUAGGAGUCCUAACUACCAUACAUGUGACCUAUAUUAACAAGGAAAGAUAGUAUACUAUACAUACAUUAUAUUCAACACUCCCCCUCAAGCUGGAGCAUAUACGUCAUAUGCACCAAGCUUGUUACAAAUAUAUUUAAUCCUAGGACCUCUGAGAGAUUUAGUGAAGAUGUCUGCUAGUUGAUCAUUUGAAUUGACAAAACUUGUAGCAACACAUCCUGAUGCAAUCUUCUCUCUAAUGAAAUGACAGUCAACUUCAAUAUGUUUGGUCCUUUCAUGAAAGACUGGAUUGGAUGCAAUAUGUAAUGCGGCCUGGUUAUCACAGAUGAGUUUCAUCUGUUCAUCCUUUCCAAAUCUCAACUCCUGAAGAAGAUGUCUCAACCAUAUGAGUUCACAUGUUGCCAAAGCCAUAGCUCGAUACUCGGCUUCAGCGCUAGAUCUGGCCACUACAUCUUGUUUCUUACUCUUCCAAGAUAUUAGAUUACCUCCAAUAAAAACACAGUACCCUGAAGUGGAACGUCUAUCUGUGGGUGAGCCAGCCCAAUCUGCAUCUGUGUAACCAACAACUUGAGUAUGACCUCUGUUCUCGUACAAUACACCUUGGCCUGGUGUACUUUUGAUAUAUCGAAGAAUACGGAUUACGGCAUCCCAAUGGUUAUCACAUGGUGACUGUAGGAAUUGACUAACAAUACUCACAGGAAAAGAAAUGUCUGGACGAGUAAUGGUGAGAUAGUUCAAUUUACCUACGAGCCGUCGAUAUCUCCCGGGGUCUCCUAAAGGCUCCCCCUGUCCUGGUACAAGUUUGACAUUCGGAUCCAUAGGUGUGUCUACCGGUUUACAGUCUAACAUACCGGUUUCUUCCAGGAUAUCUAAAGCAUACUUCCUUUGGGAAAGGACCACACCAGAACUGGAUUGAGCUAUCUCAAUUCCCAAGAAAUACUUGAGUUUCCCCAAGUCUUUGGUCUGAAAGCGGGUAAAAAGAUGUUGCUUUAGUUUCUGAAUACCAUCCUGAUCACUGCCUGUAAUGACGAUGUCAUCCACAUAAACAACCAGAUAAAUACACUGCCCCAAGGAGUUAUGAUGAUAAAAAACUGAAUGGUCUGCUGUACUGCGAAGCAUGCCAAACUCUUGAACAACAGAACUAAAACGGCUAAACCAUGCUCGAGGAGAUUGUUUCAAGCCAUAUAGAGAGCGGCGUAACCUGCACACUAAACCAGACUCCCCCUGAGCAACAAAACCAGGAGGUUGCUCCAUAUAAACUUCCUCAGCAAGAUCACCAUGAAGGAAGGCAUUUUUAAUAUCCAACUGAUAAAGAGGCCAAGAACACAUAGCAGCCAUGGACAGAAGCAAGCGGACAGAAGCAAUCUUGGCAACAGGGGAGAAUGUGUCACCAUAAUCAGAACCAUAAACUUGAGUAUAGCCUUUAGCAACUAAGCGGGCCUUAAGGCGAUCAACCUGACCAUCAGGACCAACCUUAACUGCAUAGACCCAACGACAACCAACUGUAGAUUUACCAGAGGGUAAAACAACAAGAUCCCAAGUGCCAUUAGAGUGCAGAGCAGCCAUUUCAUCCACCAUUGCCUGUCGCCAGCCUGGAUGGGAAAGAGCUUCAUGGGUGCUCUUUGGAAGAGAAACAGAGGAUAUAGCAGAAACAAAAGCAGAAUAGGGUGAAGAUAAUCGAUGAUAACUCAAAAAAUUGUAAAUAGGAUGAGGAUUACGAGUAGAGCGAGUACCUUUCCGAACAGCAAUGGGUAAGUCAUUAGGAGAAGGCAGAGCCGGGGCAGGUGAAGCCGAAGGGAUAGGAAGUGAGUCAGCAGGUGCCUCAGGAAAAGGGAGAGGAGCAACGACACGAGGGCGACGAUGAUAAACCUGAAGUGGUCGAGGGGGCAUAGCAUCAGGUGGGGAGACAAUGGGAAUGGGCAAGACUUCAGAAACAGGAAGAGACUCAGAAGUGGUGGAAAAGAAUGGUGAGUCCUCAAAGAAGGUGACAUCAGCGGAGAUAAAGUACCGAUGAGUCUCAAGGGAAUAACAACGAUAACCCUUCUGAAGUCUGGAAUAUCCCAAGAAGAGGCACUUCAUGGCUUUGGCGGAAAGCUUGUCCUGUCCAGGAGUGAGAAUAUGAACAAAGCAAGUACAACCAAAGACACGAGGAGGAAGGAAAUAAAGUGGUUGGUCAGGGAAAAGAAGGGAGUGAGGAAUCUGAUCGUGUAAGACAGAGGAGGGCAUACGAUUAAUCAAAUAACAAGCGGUAAGAACAGCGUCCCCCCAAAAACGAAAAGGAACAUGAUUAUGGAGGAGGAGAGUACGAGCUGUCUCAACAAGAUGUCGAUUCUUGCGUUCAGCUACCCCAUUUUGUUGAGGAGUAUGAGCACAAGAAGACUGAUGAAGAAUCCCAUGAUGAGACAUAAACGAAGUAAAUUGGGCUGAAAAAUAUUCCCUGGCAUUGUCACUGCGUAACACACGAAUAGAAAUAUUGAACUGGGUUUGGAUUUCAGUAUAAAAUUUCUGGAAAAUAGAGAAUAACUCAGCUCGAUUUUUCAUUAAGAAUAACCAAGUACAUCGAGAAUAGUCAUCAAUGAAAGUGACAAAAUACUGAAAUCCUAAAGUAGACGCAGUCCGACAAGGACCCCAAACAUCAGUGUGGACAAGCUCAAAAGGAGACUUUGCCCGAUUAUUCAAACGCUUUGGGAACGAGACACGAGUAUGUUUCCCAAGCUGACAUGACUCACACGGAAGCGACGACAAAGUGGAAAAACGAGGAACCAUCUUCUGGAACUUGGAAAGACUAGGGUGGCCCAGACGAUUGUGAAGGAGGAGAGGAGCAUCAGUGGAAAUGCAAACUGCAGGAGAUGAAUCUGAGGUGAGGUGAUAGAGGCCUUGAGACUCACGUCCUAUGCCAAUCGUCUUCCCCGUACUCCGGUCCUGCAAGGUCACAAAUUUAUCAGAAAAGGUAAUAGAGCAAUUAAGAGUACGAGUGAUUUUGCUGAUGGAAAUAAGAUUAAAAGGACAUUCAGGAGUAUAAAGGACAGAAGUGAGAGGUAGAGAAGGCAAAGGAAGGGCCAAACCAAUACCUUUAGCCACAGUUUGAGAACCAUUAGCUAAGGUAACAGUAGGUAAAUCAGAGGUAGUAGUAAUAGAGGAGAAAAGAUCCUUAUUACCAGAUAGGUGAUCAGAUGCUCCAGAAUCUAGAAUCCAGGGUCCAAGAGAAGAUGUGUGGGUAAGGCAGGCAGAGGCAUUACCAGGCUGGGCAACAGAGGCAAUAGAAGCCUGAGAUGUCUGAGAUGCGGAGGAGCUCGGAGGCUGAGGCAGCGGAGAAUCAGAGGACUGGGCCAUAUGGGCAGUGCGAGGAGGUCUUCCAUGUAACUGAUAGCAACGAUCGCGAGUGUGGCCAAGUUUAUUGCAAUAGGUGCAAUGAGGACGUUGGCCUCUACCUCGGGUACCACUGCGUCCUCCUCGAGAGGUAGUUUGAGAAACUAACACAGAAGAAUCUGAAGCGCUAUCAGAUGGCAAAGUCUGAGUGGACGAGAUACGGAGGAGGCGAGCAAACACAUCAUCCAAGGACGGAACUGAUGAACUACCAAGAAUCUGAUCACGAAUAGGCUCAAGAUCUGGAAGGAGGCCGAUAAGAGUAAGGACCAUGAAGAACUUGUCAAGCUGUGUUUGUUGGGCCCCAACAUCAGGAGUAAGAGGCAUCACAGUCAAGAACUGCUCCUUAAGAGAGGCAAUCUGGCCAAUAUAAGUAGAUAGAUCCAAGUCCUGUUGGCUGAGAUGGACAAUAGCAGAAGCCACCUUAUAAAGACGCUGGAUAUCAUUCGUGUAUAAUCCUUUGGCCUGAGUCCAAAAUUUAAAACAAGUUUUAUAGGCCUGAAGAUGAAGAAGAAUUCGGGGAUCAACCGAUUGCCAUAAUACACUACACAACUGUGCAUCUAUCUUCCUCCACUGUACGCGGUCGACCUCAGGGAUAUCUGCCUCCUGUGUAAUCAAGUGAUCCUCAUAUCCUUGACCCAUAAACCAAAGUUCAACAGAGGCAGACCAGGAAAGAUAAUUUUCACUCCCAACUAAUUUCUCCGAAGUAAUCAUAGGAGAUCCAGAUAUGACAGAGGAAAAAAUGGAAGCUUUAGUAGCCAUAUCCACUUAUCUGGAGAAUGAAGUAUGUUUGGAUCGAAGAGAGCCCUAAUACAGCUUCAGAUUGCAGCGUGGCACCACCGAAAAAGGGAGACGGCCUCAGAUCGCGGUGUGGUACCACCAGAAAGGGAGAAGAACACUUCCCAAGGCACGUGCAGGGAUUGGAGUGGAGAAAAAGUGGUCGGAGCUUCGCCGGAAAGACUGUUUGGAGGGCCGACGGAGACAAAAAUCCCCAAAAGAGGUACGUGCAGGGCUCGGAUGGGAGAACCAGGGAGGUGGGAAGGCUGAUCGGCGUCAGGCGAAGCUAGAGGAGGAGGCGCGUCGCCGGAAAAGCUCUCACGCGCCCCCACGCGCCGGCGCGUGAGAUUCAACCGCCGGCCGGAAAAUUGCGCGUGGCCGGCGCGUGGCUGCUCUUUUGGUGCUGGUGCCUUCACAAAAGUUGGAGAUCUCCUCCAGGCGCUCCUUCUGGUAUGGUCGGUGUCGGAAAAAUAGGUCGCCGGGAAAUUUCGCCGGAAAGUUCGCCGGAAAAUUCGCCGGAAAAUUUGCCAGCGGUGAGUGGUUUCUAAUGACGAUCCGACUGACCGGAAAGUAUUGGGAGAUGGGGAAGGUGACCGGAAAGAAACACGGUCACCGGAAGGUUUCCCGGAGUUGAUGACACGGAAAACAGGAAAGAAUUAGGUUUUCUUCCUUGGCUCUGAUACCAUGUUGAGAGAGAGAGAGAGAAAGGAGAAAAACCUAAUUCACAUUCAUUGUAAUCUCUACUUACAAUUGAGAGAUAUAUAUAUACAAGGCUAGGAGUCCUAACUACCAUACAUGUGACCUAUAUUAACAAGGAAAGAUAGUAUACUAUACAUACAUUAUAUUCAACACAACUCUUUGACUUUCCAAAAAUAUACCUGUAUAUUUUCUGACUAGUGGGAUUUUAUAUAUUUCUUGCUAUAUUGUAUAACAUGAUAGAUAAUAUUGGCUUAUAUUGUUAUAGAGACAAUCCUUGACGUAGACAGAUUUUUGGCUUACAACUUUUUGUCCUUG